RNAcentral lists this ribosomal RNA (378 nucleotides) under uncultured bacterium. RNAcentral describes it as "bacterial SSU rRNA". It matches the Rfam family "Bacterial small subunit ribosomal RNA", at positions 30 to 405 of the family's 1533-position model. The record is from RNAcentral.
AUUGAACGCUGGCGGCAUGCCUUACACAUGCAAGUCGAACGGCAGCACGGGAGCAAUCCUGGUGGCGAGUGGCGAACGGGUGAGUAAUAUAUCGGAACGUGCCCAGUCGUGGGGAUAACGUAGCGAAAGCUACGCUAAUACCGCAUACGAUCUAUGGAUGAAAGCGGGGGAUCGCAAGACCUCGCGCGAUUGGAGCGGCCGAUAUCAGAUUAGGUAGUUGGUGAGGUAAAGGACUCACCAAGCCGACGAUCUGUAGCUGGUCUGAGAGGACGACCAGCCACACUGGGACUGAGACACGGCCCAGACUCCUACGGGAGGCAGCAGUGGGGGAAUUUUUGGGACAAUGGGCGCAAGCCUGAUCCAGCAAUGCCGCGUGCA